ACGAUCAGUAGCCGGCCUGAGAGGGUGGACGGCCACAUUGGGACUGAGACACGGCCCAAACUCCUACGGGAGGCAGCAGUGGGGAGCAUUGCACAAUGGGGGAAACCCUGAUGCAGCGACGCCGCGUGAGCGAAGAAGUAUUUCGGUAUGUAAAGCUCUAUUAGCAGGGAAGAAACUGACGGUACCUGACUAAGAAGCACCGGCUAAAUAC
This 211-nucleotide ribosomal RNA is filed under the name uncultured bacterium. RNAcentral's name for it is "partial 16S ribosomal RNA". It matches the Rfam family "Bacterial small subunit ribosomal RNA", at positions 276 to 504 of the family's 1533-position model. The record is from RNAcentral.